Molecule: ribosomal RNA, 1908 nt
Filed under: Triticum aestivum (bread wheat)
Lineage: Eukaryota; Viridiplantae; Streptophyta; Magnoliopsida; Poales; Poaceae
Description: partial small subunit ribosomal RNA
Source: RNAcentral
CAAUGGCGUGGAGGUGAAGGGUAACGUAAACGAGAACACAUUUUUUUUUCAGCUUCACUUGAGCGAGGGGAAGACCAGCCUCUCCUCGUCGUCUCGUCUCUACCGGCCUCGGCCCUUCUGCUUCGUCGAGGAGGAGGGGGAAGAGAUCUAGCUGUCGUCGGGUACCUUCUCCGCCGCCGCCGCCGGUUCGCCUCGUCCAGCCUCGUGGUGGUGCCGCAGCGGCUGCCCGGCAGGAAGGCCUACCUCCUGGAAGGCCGCCUCCAAGUCGGCCAAUAUUAGAGUGACGACGGUGACUUUCUCCGACACGCCUGCUCAUAACAAAGUUCUUCAACCUCUUACGAGACCUGUAAGGUGACGCUAGAUACAAAAGUACCGGGGCUACUAAGUUUUAAAAUGUGGCGACUAGUCGUAUCACGGGGGUAUUUUUCUCGUUUAAAGUAACUCCGACAUUUAAACCAAUAAGUCGUCGUAUCACCUAACCUUAGUUAUUCAAGUCGUAGUGUACACCGUACGUGUUUCUCAUGCGACUACUAGAACUGUCCACCUAAGUCAAACGGCGAAGCAGUUACCUUUUAUAUUAUCUAAAAUUAGACUUCUUUUUAAUAGAGGGUAAUCUUAAAGUGGUGAAGGGAGAGCUCCGGAAUCUAAGUGUUCCAACGAGUAAACACGUCAGGAAUAAAGAGCGGUCACAAAGAUAUUUCGGUUUGAGUCAUUAUAGACCGAAAUGUUAUGAGUCUUCCGAACAAGACCUUAAACAAUUCUAUAAUCCUCUAAAAGGUCCGAACGAUCGUUUUACAAGUCCUGAACUCCUGAAUCUCUAGUAGCCCACGAUACCACACCUGUUGAAUUAGCAUGGUGUGUUUGAGCUAUUUGAAGUUGUAAACGACUAACGGCCUUACCUGUAGGUCUACCAACUCAAAGUACGAUGACUAGAAAGAGUAAAACUCAUGUUUCCCGCUCACUAGGGAUAUCAGGAAGUACCAACGAGCUUUGAUCUCUUCCGUUGUUACUUCAAAUUACCGUGAUUUCGUGACCGUGUACGUAAGUGACGUCAAGGUUCGUAAAACGGUCACUUCUGUAAUGUAGACGUUCGAAAGUAUAGUUUUAUACGUGUCAACGUCUUCGACGGUUGUUCUGUUGUCCCUUACAAAAACGUAAACUCCGUAUACUGAACAGUUAAUUAACAGUUGAGAUUGCUGGGUUUACCACUAUUGCCUCAAGAAGUUGACCGGUUAACAAACCUACAACGUGAACGUAUACGAGACACGCUAUAGGUCAUCAAAGAGGUCGCCACUCCACCGCCCAUACGCGGCGGUACUAGUAGGGUUCUGCCGGAAGUACUCGCCAAAAGCUACAAUAUUCCGAGUCUAACUCGACCGUACGACAUAGAACUCUUUACGAAGACAAGAACUCGUCGACUAUUAUCUUGGUUCCUAAUGUCUGUUUCAUACCCGCCCACUAACAAGGCUCACCUUAUGACUGGAACCGCUUUAGAAUGGUCCCCAGACACUCACCCGUGUCCUGUGGAGCCUCGCGAAACCAUUCGUUGCCUCCGAAGAAACCGGGUCGUUCUGCGUCCUAGAGAAGACGUGGUAGUAAUCGCUCACAGCAGUAACGGACGUCUAAAAUCAUCUAGCCUCACCCUACGAUAAAGGGGACCACAAACAAUGGAAAACGACAUUACUACUUUUCGACCCUUCUUCAUUUAGAAAUAAAAGCUGUUUCCUACCUAAAAUAUAAUGAGUUUUCCCUUCUUCUGAGUCGAGACGGGUAAGGUACCCUUUCGCGGCAACUGGACAUGAAAAAUGCCCUUUUUAUUGUAGACGAGUCUGGUUUCCUUUGCGCGACAACCUCUGGAUACCAAACGUGACAAGUGGGUAUAAGUGAAGGACAUGAAAAAAAGUAAGG